CGCAGAGAAAAGGCAGAAGCGGAACGGCAGGAAGGGCGGCCGCUCAGGAAGAGACAGGAAGCAGAUCAGAGGAAGCCGGGAAGCCAGGCUGGGCCCGGGUGGUGGGAGCUCGGGGUCCGAGGUGAACGUGAGUUUAAUGUGGCAGACGAGAGGACACAGCGUUUCUGUCUCCCAGCACCUGUUGAUGGCUCUGUGUUUUAGUCCAGGUCGCUGUGGAGGAGAUGGCGCUUUCCCACGGGCCAUCUCUGCAGCCCGGCGAUGUGAGCUGCGAGCAGAGCCCGUCACCUCAGUUUGCAGACCUUCUAAAGGCUGAAUACAAGCUGGCAUGCCUGAGCUUUUGAAGAAGAGGCAGCUCGGGCCGUGAUCUGGUCCCAUCACAGCACCAAGGGCAGGACCUGAGGGCGUCUUCCAGGGCACACAGCACAGAGCGGCCAGGCCAGCUCUGCACCCGUCUCUCUGAGCCCAGACAGGGCGGCAGACUCGCGUGCACCAGAGAUGGUAAUCCUGCGGCAAUGAUGCCAGCGCCAGGCCCUCCCACCGCCUCGUGCGGUCAUUAGAGCAGCCGGGGUCAGUGCCUCGAUUCCCUGUGUAGAAAGAAAGAAACAGAUGGCAGGUGCUUUGGUAUUCACACAGCUAAGACCUGAGAACCAGACCCCGGGGCUGUGGGCUUCCACCCGUGCUCUGGCCACCGGGGUGCACGGCUCUGCUGCAGAACAAAGCCAGAAGGAGUCCGAGGAUCCCUCCCCACCUCACGUGCAGUGAUUCUGGGGUGAAGAGCUUUGAAUUCAGCUCCUCCUUUAAAAAAGACAAGCCGUUUAACUAGGUCAGGUAAACACAGGGAUAUUUGGACUAGCUCAGCCCAGCUCUGAAGGCUCAUGGCGGAACGUCUGAAUUAGGAUGGGGAAGGACGCCGUUAUCCAUUAACUCUGUCCCGGUUCACGGGGCAGGUGGCUCUGGGAACGGGCAGCCGACGUGGCCCACCUUCAGCUGCCCAGGAUCUCCCCGGAGCAGCAGCAACGGGGCCACACGACCAGGCACCUCCAAGCACCCGCGUCACAGGGUGCCAAACCUUGGCUGGAGAACCUGAGGGGCAGAGUCCGCAUGAACCGGAGCAGGGCCCCACGGUCCUUGUCCCCACCACUACGUCCUCCGCGGGAAACCUUUAGCCAAAGAGUAAGUUUAAUCCGAGAAGGGAGAAAAUGCAGAAACGAAGGAAAACAGUCAAAGGAGACCAAACAAUCAUAGCUUAGUCAUUGAGCACAGUCAAGGGCCUUUAGCUCUGCUUUAAGGGCUGCAGGUCAUAUUCUGAGCCACAUCCCGUGAGCUGUACCGAAGCCCCCGCCAGGUGAAGGAGGUUGACUGCAUCACGACCAAACUGAAGCCACGCCAUACGCUGUCCCACUUCACACGAUUCCGAGAACUGGCCUCAAAGAAACGGGAACAAACCCUGCAACUAAGGGUUAACUGUACUUAAAACAGCCAAGGUGACGCCCAUCAGACCACCACAUUCCCGAUUUCAAGACGACUGUCGGAGCUGACUGCGCUGUCCUGCCCCCCGCUCCGCCUGCACACCCCGAAACUGCCCUUUAAAAGCCCCUGGCCCCUGAGCAGCCAUCGGGAGCUGGUUCUCAGACAGGAGCCCACCCUCUGCCCCGGCUGCCGGACUCCGAAAUAAAGCAAACUUUCCUU
This is a long non-coding RNA of Orcinus orca (killer whale), 1689 nucleotides long. RefSeq lists it as uncharacterized. The transcript is spliced from 3 exons. The record is from RefSeq and is a predicted model, not a curated record. Lineage: Eukaryota; Metazoa; Chordata; Mammalia; Artiodactyla; Delphinidae.